CUCCCAACUGCCUUCAGACUGGCGCUGCUGGACUUAAACAGAUUUUUGCUCAACUCUGAAAGUGUUUGCUCUUGCCUCAGUUUCCCUUUUAACAGGAGAUACUAUAGCACAGUUCCUGGCUCAGCAAAUGUUACCUAUUUUUAAUGCCCAUGUCUGUGAUCUUUUAAAAAAAUGUACACAAACAUUUAUAUAGCAGUUUCAAAAGUAAACGUAAUAGUUACAGUAUUCACAACAACAAACAUGCACACACACAGAAGCAUGGAAGGGAGGAACUGCAUUAAAAUCAUAACUGUGCUUACUUUCAGAGUGGAUUAUUGCUGAUCCAUCUUUCUACCAUGCUUGUCUUUAUUCCUACAGUGAACAUGAAUUACUUUUGUAAUAAGAAACACAUUAUUCUUUACAGAGCUGCAGGAAUCAAUCCCAAGAAGAUCUGCUAUCUGUCCUUUUUCUCAUACCUCCUCAAACAUGGAUUCAAGAAGCUCCAACAUCAGCCCUUGUUCUCACUGCCCCCGACCCCCGCCAUGUGGAUUCAUUUAAAUUGGGGACUUUAUGGCCACCCCUCCUGGUUCUUUCUGGGCAGAGGGAGAAGCACAUUUGCAUUCUGGACAUGA
Molecule: long non-coding RNA, 611 nt
Filed under: Bos indicus x Bos taurus (hybrid cattle)
Lineage: Eukaryota; Metazoa; Chordata; Mammalia; Artiodactyla; Bovidae
Description: lncRNA (ENSBIXG00005027096.1)
Source: RNAcentral